This 253-nucleotide ribosomal RNA is filed under the name uncultured bacterium. RNAcentral describes it as "partial 16S ribosomal RNA". It matches the Rfam family "Bacterial small subunit ribosomal RNA", at positions 524 to 776 of the family's 1533-position model. The record is from RNAcentral.
UACGUAGGGUGCGAGCGUUAAUCGGAAUUACUGGGCGUAAAGCGUGCGCAGGCGGUGCUGUAAGACCGAUGUGAAAUCCCCGGGCUUAACCUGGGAACUGCAUUGGUGACUGCAGCGCUGGAGUGUGGCAGAGGGGGGUGGAAUUCCACGUGUAGCAGUGAAAUGCGUAGAGAUGUGGAGGAACACCGAUGGCGAAGGCAGCCCCCUGGGUUAACACUGACGCUCAGGCACGAAAGCGUGGGGAGCAAACAGG